UUGUAAUCCAUAUUACACUCGACAUCAAGCUCCAAGAGCACUGAGAUGUAGGGCUUUUACCUCCACCGUAGAGGGGCCUGAACUCAUACAACCUCGCCGCAGCUAAGGCUCUGCCCAUCCUUUCAUACCCUACACAUCUACUGUCAGACUUAUACCCACGACACAACCACUCUGCUACUGUCAUGGUUUUGACAGAGAGAGNNNNNNNNNNNNNNNNNNNNNNNNNNNNNNNNNNNNNNNNNNNNNNNNNNNNNNNNNNNNNNNNNNNNNNNNNNNNNNNNNNNNNNNNNNNNNNNNNNNNCUUCGUCACCUCCAUAAACGAGAAACAUUUCCUUAGUCCUUUUCAGGUACUUCAGGAUAUUCUUGACCGUUGUCUAGUGUUCCGCACCGGGAUUACUUUGGUACCUCCCUACCAAGCUUAUGGCAAGGUUUAUAUCAGGUCUGGUACACAGCAUGGCAUACAUUAGAGAGCCCACGGCUGAAGCGUAGGGGACAGAACUCAUCUUCUCUCUAUCUGCUGCCGUGGUCGGCGACUGAGUCUUACUCAAUCUCAUACCUUGCAAAACUGGAAAGAACUCUUUCUUUGAGUUUUCCAUAUUGAACUUCUUCAAUAUCUUGUCAAGGUAUGUACUUUGCGAAAGACCUAUGAGGCGUCUCGAUCUAUCUCUAUAGAUCUUGAUACCUAAUAUGUAUGCAGCUUCUCCAAGGUCCUUCAUUGAAAAACUCUUGUUCAAAUAGGCCUUUAUGCUCUCCAACAUCUCUAUAUCAUUCCCCAUCAAUAAUAUGUCAUCCACAUAUAGUACGAGGAAAGCUACAGAGCUCCCACUCACUUUCUUGUACAGACAGGCUUCUCCGUAAACCUGUAUGAACCCAAACGCUUUAAUCACCUCAUUAAAGCGAAUGUUCCAACUCCGAGAUGCUUGCACCAGCCCAUAGAUGGAGCGUUGGAGCUUGCACACUUUGUUAGCACCCUUAGGGUCGACAAAACCUUCUGGUUGCAUCAUAUACAACUCUUCCUUAAGGUUCCCGUUAAGGAAUGCUGUUUUGACGUCCAUUUGCCAAAUUUCAUAAUCAUAAAAGGCGGCAAUUGCUAACAUGAUUCGGACUGAUUUCAGCUUCGCUACGGGAGAGAAAGUCUCUUCGUAGUCAACUCCUUGAAUUUGUCGAAAACCCUUUGCGACAAGUCGAGCUUUGCAAACGGUUACAUUACCGUUUGCAUCAGUCUUCUUCUUGAAGAUCCAUUUAUUUUCUAUGGCUCGCCGGUCAUCGGGUAAGUCCACCAAAGUCCAUACUUUGUUCUCAUACAUGGAUCCUAUCUCGGAUUUCAUAGCCUCAAGCCAUUUGUUGGAAUCCGGGACCGCCAUCGCUUCUUCAUAGUUCGAAGGUUCACCGUUGUCUAACAACAUGAUUUCCAUCACAGGGUUGCCGUACCACUCUGGUGCGGAGCGUGCCCUUGUGGACCUUCGCGGUUCAGUAGUAACUUGAUCCGAAGCUUCAUGAUCAUCAUCAUUAACUUCCUCUUCAGUUGGUGUAGGCGCCACAGGAACAACUUCCCUUGCUGCGCUACUAUCCUAUUCGAGAGGGGGUGUAAUUACCUCAUCAAGUUCUACCUUCCUCCCACUUACUUCUUUCGAGAGAAACUCUUUAUCUAGAAAGGAUCCGUUCUUGGCAACAAAGGUCUUACCUUCUGAUCUAAGAUAGAAGGUAUACCCAAUAGUUUCCUUUAGGGUAUCCUAUGAAUACGCAUUUCUCCGCUUUGGGUUCGAGAUUUUCUGGUUGAAGUUUCUUCACAUAAGCAUCGCAGCCCCAAACUUUAAGAAACGACAACUUAGGUUUCUUGCCAAACCAUAGUUCAUACAGUGUCGUCUCAACGGAUUUUGACGGUGCCCUAUUUAAAGUGAAUGCUGCAGUUUCUAAUGCGUAUCCCCAAAAUGAUAGCGGUAAGUCGGUAAGAGACAUCAUAGAUCGUACCAUAUCUAAUAAAGUGCGAUUACGACGUUCAGACACUCCGUUGCGUUGCGGUGUGCCAGGCGGCGUCAGUUGUGAAACGAUUCCACACUUCCUUAGGUGUGUGCCAAACUCGUGACUCAAAUAUUCUCCUCGACGAUCAGAUCGCAGACAUUUAAUUUUUCUGUCACGUUGAUUCUCAACCUCACUCUGAAAUUCCUUGAACUUUUCAAACGUCUCAGAUUUGUGCUUCAUUAAGUAGAUAUACCCAUACCUACUCAAAUCAUUGGUGAGAGUGAGAACAUAACGAUAGCCACCGCGAGCUUCAACGUUCAUUGGACCACACACAUCAGUAUGUAUUAUUUCCAAUAAGUCGGUUGCUCUCUCCAUUAUUCCUGAGAAUGGAGUCUUAGUCAUCUUGCCCAUGAGGCACGAUUCGCAUGUGUCAAAUGAUUCAAAGUCAAGAGACUCUAAUAGUCCAUAAGUAUGGAGCUUCUUCAUGCGCUUAACGCUGAUAUGACCAAGGCGGCAGUGCCACAAGUAUGUGGGACCAUCAUUAUCAACUUUACAUCUUUUGGUACUCACACUAUGAAUAUGUGUAACAUCACGAUCGAGAUUCAUCAAGAAUAAACCAUUCACCAGCGGAGCAUGACCAUAAAACAUAUCACUCACAUAAGUAGAACAACCAUUAUUCUCUGACUUAAAUGAGUAGCCGUCUCGCAUUAAGCAAGACCCUGAUACAAUAUUCAUGCUCAAAGCUGGUACUAAAUAACAAUUAUUAAGGUUUAAAACUAAUCCCGACGGUAGAUGUUGAGGUAGCCUGCCAACGGCGAUCACAUCGACUUUGGAACCAUUCCCCACGCGCAUCGUCACCUCGUCCUUGGCCAGUCUCCGCUUAUUCCGCAGUUCCUGCUUUGAGUUGCAAAUGUGAGCAACAACACCGGUAUCAAAUACCCAGGAGCUACUACGAGCGCUGGUAAGGUACACAUCAAUAACAUGUAUAUCACAUAUACCUUUAACGUUGCCGCACUUCUUGUCCGCUAAGUAUUUGGGAGAGUUCCGCUUCCAGUGACCUUUUCCCUUGCAGUAGAAGCACUCAGUCUCAGGCUUGGGUCCGUUCUUUUUCUUCUUCCCGGCAUCUGGCUUACCGGGCGCGGCAACAGCUUUGCCGUCUUUCAUGAAGUUCUUCUUACCCCUGCCUUUCUUGAAACUAGUGGUCUUGUUGACCAUCAACACUUGAUGCUCCUUCUUGAUUUCUACUUCUGCAGACUUGAGCAUCGAGUACAACUCGGGAAUGGUUUUCUCCAUCCCUUGCAUGUUGUAGUUAAGCACAAAGCCUUUGUAGCUUGGUGGGAGAGACUGGAGGAUUCUGUCAAUGAUAGCAUCACCCGGAAGUUCGACUCCAAGUGAAGUCAGACGACCGUGUAACCCAGACAUUUUGAGUAUGUGCUCACUGACAGAACUGUUCUCCUCCAUCUUACAGCUGAAGAACUUGUCGGAGACUUCAUAUCUCUCGACACGGGCAUGAGCUUGAAAAACUAGCUUCGGCUCUUGGAACAUCUCAUAUGCCCCGUGUUGCUCAAAACGUCUUUGGAGCCCCAUUUCUAAACUGUAUAACAUGCCACACCUGACCAGAGAGUAGUCAUCACUUCGCGCUUGCUAGACAUUUAGAAUGUCCUAGGCUGCUGCGGGAGCGGGAGGGUCACCUAGCGGCGCAUUAAGGACAUAAGCCUUUUUACUUGCUUCAAGGAUGAGCUUCAGGUUGCGAACCCAGUCCGCAUAGUUGCUACCAUCAUCUUUCAGCUUGUUUUUCUCUAGGAAUGCGUUGAAGUUGAGGUUGACGUUGGACAUCUACAAUAUUUAUAAAGACAACUUUUAGACUAAGUUCAUGACAAUUAAGUUCAUUUAAUCAAAUUAAGUAUGAACUCCCACUUAAAUCGACAUCCCUCUAGUCAUCUAAGUGAUACAUGAUCCAUGUUGACUAACCCGUGUCCGAUCAUCACGUGAGACGGACUAGUCACCAUGGUGAGCAACUUCAUGCUGAUCGUAUUCAACCAUACGACUCAUGUUCGACCUUUCGGUCUCUUGUAUUCGAGGUCAUGUCUGUACAUGCUAAGCUCGUCGAGUCAACCUAGGUGUUUCGCGUGUGUAAAUCUGGCUUACACCCGUUGUAUGCGAACGUUAGAAUCUAUCACACCCGAUCAUCACGUGGUGCUUCGAGACAACGAACCUUCGCAACGGUGCACACUUAGGGGAAUACGUUCUCAAAAUUUUAAGAGGGAUCAUCUUAUUAUGCUACCGUCGUUUUAAGCAAUAAGAUGUAAAGCAUGAUAAACAUCACAAUGCAAUCAUAUAGUGACAUGAUAUGGCCAUUAUCAUCUUUGCUCUUUCGAUCUCCAUCUUCAGGCAUCGCAUGAUCAUCAUUGUCACCGGCGUGACACCAUGAUCUCCAUCAUCGUGUCUCCGUGAAGUCGUCACGCCAACUACUACUAUCACUACUACUAUGGCUAACCGUUAGCAAUGAAGUAAAAUAGUAAGCACAUGGCGUUGCAUCUCAUACAAUAAAUUAAGACAACUCCUAUGGCUCCUGCCGGUUGUCAUACUCCUCGUCAUGCAAGUCGUGAAACCUAUUACAGUAACAUGAUCAUCUCAUACAUCAUACAUGCAACAUCACAACUUUGGCCAUAUCACAUCACAUGUCAAACCCUGCAAAAAACAAGUUAGACGUCCUCUAAUUGUUGUUGCAAGUUUUACGUGGCUGAUUUGGGUUUCUAGCAAGAACGCCUUCUUACCUACAUGACAGCCACAACGAUGAUAUGCCAAAGCUAUUUACCCUUCAUAAGGACCCUUUNNNNNNNNNNNNNNNNNNNNNNNNNNNNNNNNNNNNNNNNNNNNNNNNNNNNNNNNNNNNNNNNNNNNNNNNNNNNNNNNNNNNNNNNNNNNNNNNNNNNUUAUUCGCCACUACUCCACCCCUGUGCACCGAACCGUUAUGAAGGGUAGCGCACUCUAUAUAAGCCGCCCUUCCCCACUGGUGCAGGGGUUAGCAAUUCAUUGUAAUCCAUAUUACACUCGACAUCAAGCUCCAAGAGCACUGAGACGUAGGCCUUUUACCUCCACCGUAGAGGGGCCUGAACUCAUAGAACCUCGCCGUAGCUAAGGCUCUGCCCAUCCUUUCGUACCCCACACAUCUACUGUCAGACUUAUACCCACGACACAACCACUCUGCUACUGUCAUGGUUUUGACAGAGAGAGGGGCACAUAGCAAGUUGGCCCUCUUGCUGCUGCUACUACUAACGAACAGGGAAAUAAAACCCAAAAAGGGGCGGUGCACCACCGGGGACUCGAACCCUGCACCUUUCGAUGACCAACAGGAGUUACUACCACUGCGCUACUGCAUCGACAUCUGACAGAGGAAGGUGCACAAACAAGGUAUACUACUAACAGAGGAAGGGGCGCACCGGCGUCAGGGAGUCCGACGGGACUGUCUCGCCGUUGCUGCUACUACUACUACGCCAAGGGGAGAGCCCCUACACAGAUCGCUACAAGGGGGGGAGAAGCCCCUUCUAGGACACAACCCUAACACACACAAGCCAACAACACACCCAAAAUACAUCUAGGGCGCCGGAUCUCUUCCUGGCAGAAACUACUCCGGCGAGCUCCUGCUCGGUCUAAGCGGCGAGAAGGAGGGAGGAAGGAGGGAGGAGCUCCUGCUCACCUAGGGGAAGUAGGAAGGGCGCCGAUCGAUGGAGAAGUCGCUGGAGGGGAAGAAGAUCGCUGAUGAAGAAGCCCCUGUCGAUGAACCGAAGCAGAGAAACAGGGAGGGAGUCCACCGAGAGCGCGACGUUGACAUGGAGCUGCCCGUGGAUGAGGUCGCUCCGUGGCCUCCCCGAGGACGGGAAUGGAGCGCGGGCUCCUACUCCGUGCCCCUGGACAUGGCCGCCAGCGCUGCUCGACGUAGACGGCGGGGUAGACGCGGCGGGGCUGAACUCUCUCUC
This 5942-nucleotide long non-coding RNA is filed under the name Hordeum vulgare. RNAcentral's name for it is "long non-coding RNA (HVUL_LNC004698)". The record is from RNAcentral. Lineage: Eukaryota; Viridiplantae; Streptophyta; Magnoliopsida; Poales; Poaceae.